This 97-nucleotide ribosomal RNA is filed under the name Firmicutes bacterium CAG:24053_14. Its description in RNAcentral is "partial 16S ribosomal RNA". It matches the Rfam family "Bacterial small subunit ribosomal RNA", at positions 1445 to 1533 of the family's 1533-position model. Lineage: Bacteria; Bacillati; Bacillota. The record is from RNAcentral.
GGAGGGAGCUGCCGAAGGCAGGUUCGAUAACUGGGGUGAAGUCGUAACAAGGUAGCCGUAUCGGAAGGUGCGGCUGGAUCACCUCCUUUCUAAGGAA